RNAcentral lists this unclassified non-coding RNA (344 nucleotides) under soil metagenome. RNAcentral describes it as "partial contains 5.8S ribosomal RNA, internal transcribed spacer 2, and large subunit ribosomal RNA". The stretch from base 1 to 121 matches the Rfam family "5.8S ribosomal RNA", at positions 35 to 154 of the family's 154-position model. The record is from RNAcentral.
GAUGAAGAAACGUAGCGAAAUGCGAUAAGUAAUGUGAAUUGCAGAAUCCAGUGAAUCAUCGAAUCUUUGAACGCACAUUGCGCCCGCCAGCAUUCUGGCGGGCAUGCCUGUUCGAGCGUCAUUUCAACCCUCGACCUCCCCUUGGGGAGGUCGGCGUUGGGGACCGGCAGCACACCGCCGGCCCUGAAAUGGAGUGGCGGCCCGUCUGCGGCGACCUCUGCGUAGUAAUACAGCUCGCACCGGAACCCCGACGCGGCCACGCCGUAAAACACCCAACUUCUGAACGUUGACCUCGAAUCAGGUAGGACUACCCGCUGAACUUAAGCAUAUCAAUAAGCGGAGGA